Molecule: non-coding RNA, 89 nt
Organism: Acanthosepion pharaonis
Lineage: Eukaryota; Metazoa; Mollusca; Cephalopoda; Sepiida; Sepiidae
Source: the annotation of a GenBank genome assembly
AUGAUCCCUUCCGAUGAGCGAAGUUAAGCAACUUUGAACCUGUUAAGUCGUUAGAUGGGUGACCGCUUGGGAAUAUCAUGCGCUGUAAU